AGUCGAGCGGCAGCGGGAAGRUAGYUUGCUAUCUUUGCCGGCGAGCGSCGKACGGGUGAGUAAUGCCUAGGGAUCUGCCCAGUCGAGGGGGAUAACAGUUGGAAACGACUGCUAAUACCGCAUACGCCCUACGGGGGAAAGGAGGGGACCUUCGGGCCUUCCGCGAUUGGAUGAACCUAGGUGGGAUUAGCUAGUUGGUGAGGUAAUGGCUCACCAAGGCGACGAUCCCUAGCUGUUCUGAGAGGAUGAUCAGCCACACUGGGACUGAGACACGGCCCAGACUCCUACGGGAGGCAGCAGUGGGGAAUAUUGCACAAUGGGGGAAACCCUGAUGCAGCCAUGCCGCGUGUGUGAAGAAGGCCUUCGGGUUGUAAAGCACUUUCAGUAGGGAGGAAAGGUAGCAGCUUAAUACGCUGUUGCUGUGACGUUACCUACAGAAGAAGGACCGGCUAACUCCGUGCCAGCAGCCGCGGUAAUACGGAGGGUCCGAGCGUUAAUCGGAAUUACUGGGCGUAAAGCGUGCGCAGGCGGUUUGUUAAGCGAGAUGUGAAAGCCCCGGGCUCAACCUGGGAAUUGCAUUUCGAACUGGCGAACUAGAGUCUUGUAGAG
Molecule: ribosomal RNA, 609 nt
Filed under: Shewanella baltica
Lineage: Bacteria; Pseudomonadati; Pseudomonadota; Gammaproteobacteria; Alteromonadales; Shewanellaceae
Description: bacterial SSU rRNA
Source: RNAcentral